Molecule: ribosomal RNA, 492 nt
Filed under: uncultured bacterium
Lineage: Bacteria
Description: bacterial SSU rRNA
Rfam family: Bacterial small subunit ribosomal RNA
Source: RNAcentral
GAUGAACGCUAGCUACAGGCUUAACACAUGCAAGUCGAGGGGCAGCAUGAACUUAGCUUGCUAAGUUUGAUGGCGACCGGCGCGACGGGUGAGUAACACGUAUCCAACCUUCCGUUUACUCAGGGAUAGCCUUUCGAAAGAAAGAUUAAUACCUGAUAGUAUGGUGAGAUUGCAUGAUAGCACCAUUAAAGAUUUAUUGGUAAACGAUGGGGAUGCGUUCCAUUAGGUAGUAGGCGGGGUAACGGCCCACCUAGCCGACGAUGGAUAGGGGGUUCUGAGAGGAAGGUCCCCCACAUUGGAACUGAGACACGGUCCAAACUCCUACGGGAGGCAGCAGUGAGGAAUAUUGGUCAAUGGGCGAGAGCCUGAACCAGCCAAGUAGCGUGAAGGAUGAAGGUCCUACGGAUUGUAAACUUCUUUUAUACGGGAAUAAAGUAUCCUACGUGUAGGAUUUUGUAUGUACCGUAUGAAUAAGCAUCGGCUAACUCCGUG